GAUGAACGCUGGCGGCGUGCCUAACACAUGCAAGUCGAACGAAGCACCCUGAUUCGAUUCCUCGGAUGAAGAUCUUGGUGACUGAGUGGCGGACGGGUUAGUAACGCGUGGGUAACCUGCCUCAUACAGGGGGAUAACAGUUAGAAAUGACUGCUAAUACCGCAUAAGACCACAGCACCGCAUGGUGCAGGGGUAAAAACUCCGGUGGUAUGAGAUGGACCCGCGUCUGAUUAGGUAGUUGGUGGGGUAACGGCCUACCAAGCCGACGAUCAGUAGCCGACCUGAGAGGAUGACCGGCCACAUUGGGACUGAGACACGGCCCAGACUCCUACGGGAGGCAGCAGUGGGGAAUAUUGCACAAUGGGGGAAACCCUGAUGCAGCGACGCCGCGUGAGCGAUGAAGUAUUUCGGUAUGUAAAGCUCUAUCAGCAGGGAAGAAAAUGACGGUACCUGGAUAAGAAGCACCGGCUAAAUACGUG
RNAcentral lists this ribosomal RNA (479 nucleotides) under uncultured bacterium. RNAcentral describes it as "partial 16S ribosomal RNA". It matches the Rfam family "Bacterial small subunit ribosomal RNA", at positions 28 to 507 of the family's 1533-position model. The record is from RNAcentral.